AACGAACGCUGGCGGCAGGCCUAACACAUGCAAGUCGAGCGAGGACUUCGGUUCUAGCGGCGGACGGGUGAGUAACGCGUGGGAAUGUGCCCUUCUCUACGGAAUAGCCCUGGGAAACUGGGAGUAAUACCGUAUACGCCCUAUUGGGGAAAGAUUUAUCGGAGAAGGAUCAGCCCGCGUUGGAUUAGGUAGUUGGUGGGGUAAUGGCCUACCAAGCCGACGAUCCAUAGCUGGUUUGAGAGGAUGAUCAGCCACACUGGGACUGAGACACGGCCCAGACUCCUACGGGAGGCAGCAGUGGGGAAUCUUAGACAAUGGGGGCAACCCUGAUCUAGCCAUGCCGUGUGAGUGAUGAAGGCCUUAGGGUUGUAAAGCUCUUUCAGCUGGGAAGAUAAUGACGGUACCAGCAGAAGAAGCCCCGGCUAACUCCGUG
This 433-nucleotide ribosomal RNA is filed under the name uncultured bacterium. RNAcentral's name for it is "partial 16S ribosomal RNA". It matches the Rfam family "Bacterial small subunit ribosomal RNA", at positions 29 to 507 of the family's 1533-position model. The record is from RNAcentral.